CAGUCGCCACGGUAAUACGAAGGGGGCUAGCGUUGCUCGGAAUCACUGGGCGCAAAGGGUGCGUAGGCGGGUCUUUAAGUCAGGGGUGAAAUCCUGGAGCUCAACUCCAGAACUGCCUUUGAUACUGAAGAUCUUGAGUUCGGGAGAGGUGAGUGGAACUGCGAGUGUAGAGGUGAAAUUCGUAGAUAUUCGCAAGAACACCAGUGGCGAAGGCGGCUCACUGGCCCGAUACUGACGCUGAGGCACGAAAGCGUGGGGAGCAAACAGGAUUAGAUACCCCAGUAGUCCCUGUCUCUUAUAC
RNAcentral lists this ribosomal RNA (301 nucleotides) under uncultured bacterium. RNAcentral's name for it is "partial 16S ribosomal RNA". It matches the Rfam family "Bacterial small subunit ribosomal RNA", at positions 509 to 807 of the family's 1533-position model. The record is from RNAcentral.